Molecule: ribosomal RNA, 497 nt
Filed under: uncultured bacterium
Lineage: Bacteria
Description: partial 16S ribosomal RNA
Rfam family: Bacterial small subunit ribosomal RNA
Source: RNAcentral
GAUGAACGCUGGCGGCGUGCCUAAUACAUGCAAGUCGAGCGAACAGACGAGGAGCUUGCUCCUCUGACGUUAGCGGCGGACGGGUGAGUAACACGUGGAUAACCUACCUAUAAGACUGGGAUAACUUCGGGAAACCGGAGCUAAUACCGGAUAAUAUCUUGAACCGCAUGGUUCAAUAGUGAAAGACGGUUUUGCUGUCACUUAUAGAUGGACCCGCGCCGCAUUAGAUAGUUGGUAAGGUAACGGCUUACCAAGUCAACGAUGCGUAGCCGACCUGGGAGAGUGAUCGGCCACACUGGAACUGUGACACGGUCCAGACUCCUACGGGAGGCAGCAGUAGGGAAUCUUCCGCAAUGGGCGAAAGCCUGACGGAGCAACGCCGCGUGAGUGAUGAAGGUCUUCGGAUCGUAAAACUCUGUUAUUAGGGAAGAACAAAUGUGUAAGUAACUAUGCACGUCUUGACGGUACCUAAUCAGAAAGCCACGGCUAACUACGUG